RNAcentral lists this ribosomal RNA (497 nucleotides) under uncultured bacterium. RNAcentral describes it as "partial 16S ribosomal RNA". It matches the Rfam family "Bacterial small subunit ribosomal RNA", at positions 28 to 507 of the family's 1533-position model. The record is from RNAcentral.
GAUGAACGCUGGCGGCGUGCCUAAUACAUGCAAGUCGAGCGAACAGACGAGGAGCUUGCUCCUCUGACGUUAGCGGCGGACGGGGGAGUACCACGUGGAUAACCUCCCUAUAAGACUGGGAUAACUUCGGGAACCCGGAGCUAAUACCGGGUAAUAUAUUGAACCGCAUGGUUCAAUAGUGAAAGACGGUUUUGCUGUCACUUAUAGAUGGAUCCGCGCCGCAUUAGCUAGUUGGUAAGGUAACGGCUUACCAAGGCGAGGAUGCGUAGCCGACCUGAGAGGGUGAUAGGCCACACGGGAACUGAGACACGGUCCAGACUCCGACGGGAGGCAGCAGUAGGGAAUCUUCCGCAAUGGGCGAAAGCCUGACGGAGCAACGCCGCGUGAGUGAUGAAGGUCUUCGGAUCGUAAAACUCUGUUAUUAGGGAAGAACAAAUGUGUAAGUAACUAGGCACGUCUUGACGGUACCUAAUCAGAAAGCCACGGCUAACUACGUG